CGGAAAGUGGGGGCGUGCCUAAUACAUGCAAGUCGAGCGGACUGAUGGGAGCUUGCUCCCAUCAGUCAGCGGCGGACGGGUGAGUAACACGUGGGUAACCUGCCUGUAAGACUGGGAUAACUCCGGGAAACCGGGGCUAAUACCGGAUAACUCAUUUCCUCGCAUGAGGAAAUGUUGAAAGGUGGCUUUUAGCUAUCACUUACAGAUGGACCCGCGGCGCAUUAGCUAGUUGGUGAGGUAACGGCUCACCAAGGCGACGAUGCGUAGCCGACCUGAGAGGGUGAUCGGCCACACUGGGACUGAGACACGGCCCAGACUCCUACGGGAGGCAGCAGUAGGGAAUCUUCCGCAAUGGACGAAAGUCUGACGGAGCAACGCCGCGUGAGUGAUGAAGGUUUUCGGAUCGUAAAACUCUGUUGUUAGGGAAGAACAAGUACCGUUCGAAUAGGGCGGUACCUUGACGGUACCUAACCAGAAAGCCACGGCUAACUACGUGCCAGCAGCCGCGGUAAUACGUAUGUGGCAAGCGUUGUCCGGAAUUAUUGGGCGUAAAGCGCGCGCAGGUGGUUUCUUAAGUCUGAUGUGAAAGCCCACGGCUCAACCGUGGAGGGGUCAUUGGAAACUGGGGGAACUUUGAGUGCAGAAGAGGAGAGUGAAAAUUUCCAAGUGUAGCGGUGAAAUGCGUAGAUAUUUUGGGAGGGAACACCAGUGGCGAAGCGCCGACUGUUCUGGCUCUGUAAACUGACACUGACGCGCGAAAGCGUGGGGAGCAAAACAGGAUUAGAUACCCCGUGGAUAGCUCCACGACCGUUAACGGAUGGAUGUGCUUAAGUGUUAGGGGGCUUUCCGCUCCCUUAGUUGCGUGCAGCUGAACUGCAUUGAGGUCACUCCUGACCUGGCAGUACGGUUAGCCAGGACCUGCAUAGCUUCAAUAAGGCAU
This 940-nucleotide ribosomal RNA is filed under the name Rossellomorea vietnamensis. RNAcentral's name for it is "bacterial SSU rRNA". It matches the Rfam family "Bacterial small subunit ribosomal RNA". Lineage: Bacteria; Bacillati; Bacillota; Bacilli; Caryophanales; Bacillaceae. The record is from RNAcentral.